Molecule: ribosomal RNA, 446 nt
Filed under: uncultured bacterium
Lineage: Bacteria
Description: partial 16S ribosomal RNA
Rfam family: Bacterial small subunit ribosomal RNA
Source: RNAcentral
CCUACGGGAGGCUGCAGUCGAGAAUCAUUCACAAUGGGGGAAACCCUGAUGGUGCGACGCCGCGUGGGGGAAUGAAGGUCUUCGGAUUGUAAACCCCUGUCAUGUGGGAGCAAAUUAAAAAGAUAGUACCACAAGAGGAAGAGACGGCUAACUCUGUGCCACCAGCCGCGGUAAUACAGAGGUCUCAAGCGUUGUUCGGAAUCACUGGGCGUAAAGCGUGCGGAGGGUGUUUCGUAAGUCGUGUGUGAAAGGGGGGAGCUCAACCCGCGGAGGGCAAAUGAUACUGGGAGACUAGAGUAAUGGAGGGGGAACCGGAAUUCUCGGUGUAGCAGUGAAAUGCGUAGAUAUCGAGAGGAACACUCGUGGCGAAGGCGGGUUCCUGGACAUUAACUGACGCUGAUGCACGAAGGCCAGGGGAGCGAAAGGGAUUAGAUACCCGUGUAGUC